This is a long non-coding RNA of Micropterus salmoides (largemouth bass), 871 nucleotides long. RefSeq lists it as uncharacterized. The record is from RefSeq and is a predicted model, not a curated record. NCBI's taxonomy places the organism in Eukaryota, Metazoa, Chordata, Actinopteri, Centrarchiformes, Centrarchidae. The transcript has 2 exons.
CGUGGUCCUGGUCGCGAGCACAUGGAAGUGAGGUCGAGAUUUGUGUCUGUGAGACGCGCGACUGAUCAUCAGAAAAAAGGGAAUAUAAAAGCAAGAAAGCAUCAACGAAAACGGGCUGAACGGCGCGGGUGGGUGGUGUUGCAGACCCUCGUACUGUCCCAGGUUUUACUGCAGCUGUCGCACUCAGACAAGUGAAGAUACCGAUCCAAAUGGGAAGGAUGCAAAGAAGCAGUCAGUGUUGUAUUUGAUUCACACACACAUAUAUACUGUAUGGUUCUACUUCCUCCUUUCUUUGAGAGGACACAGAUACACCCUGAAUGGGCCCCUGUGGUGAUCUACAUUGUGGUCGGGAAGUACCUAGUGUUACAACUGUCAUGCUGGUCUGCUUAAAGGGACAGUGCUGAUCACUUUCAUAUGCAAUACAUUCUCUUUUUCUUAUAGACUGCCAUAUCUACAUGUUCAGGACGUGAAAUUGGCUCACUUGAAAUGCAGAAAUGGACACAUUUUUUCAAUAAAAGCACAAGUUGAAUAGAUAUAAUAAUUUCUAUAGUCUAUAAAUCUUCACACCCUUGAAAAAUUAAAUAGAGCAGUCUACUCAAGUUUUCACAACAUGACAAAUGCAUAAUUGCUGGUGUCAUGAGACUUCUGGGCCAGAAUACAUAGAGAAUUUGUAAUAUUAUACUAUAAGUCUAACCACAAUGAGGUGAAAGAGGAAUGGAAUUUGUUUUGCAAUAGUUUCUUAAACCACAUACAUCUUUACUUGAAUAUUCCUUGCGCACGUUGUAUGUAUUCUCUGGCACUUUACACUGUUGAAUGUUUUGAAAAAGCUGCUUGUCUGAAUAAAUUUGUCUCAAUGGCAGAUGUUUACUAA